AUGCUGUGGGAGAUGGCCUCCAGCGUGGCGUUCCAGCCGCAGUGCGUGAGGAAGCCGCCCACCGCCGGGUGCGACAGGAUGGUCACCUGCGGCGCCCACCCGCGCACGACUAGGCCCCUGUCCUCGACGCGCGACUCGAACCCCUCGUCCUUGCCGAGCGCCGCCGCGUACGCGUCGACGAAGAUGCCUUCAACGCCGCGGAACGUGUUGAUCAGAAGGCCGUCAGCGGUGGCCUCGGCAUCGAGAAUGUCGCGCUGCUCCUUCUCCACGCCGGGGUGCUGGAAGAAGCACCGGAACGUGGCCGUGUUCCCGACGGCGUGCACCGGGAAGUCCGGCACCUCGAACGGCUCCAUCUCGUCGUCGCGGACGCGGUCGUACACGCCGUGCGUGGACAGGUUGUGCACGGCCAGGAGGAAAUAG
RNAcentral lists this ribosomal RNA (420 nucleotides) under Triticum aestivum (bread wheat). RNAcentral describes it as "partial small subunit ribosomal RNA". The record is from RNAcentral. Lineage: Eukaryota; Viridiplantae; Streptophyta; Magnoliopsida; Poales; Poaceae.